GAGUUUGAUUCUGGCUCAGGAUGAACGCUGGCGGCGUGCCUAACACAUGCAAGUCGAACGAAGCAUAUAGAAGGAAGUUUUCGGAUGGAAUUUUAUAUGACUUAGUGGCGGACGGGUGAGUAACGCGUGGAUAAUCUGCCUUACACAGCGGGAUAACAAAUGGAAACAGUUGCUAAUACCGCAUAAGCACACAGUAUCGCAUGAUACAGGGUGAAAAGAUUUAUCGGUGUAAGAUGAGUCCGCGUCCCAUUAGCUAGUUGGUGAGGUAAAAGCUUACCAAGGCGACGAUGGGUAGCCGGCCUGAGAGGGUGAACGGCCACAUUGGGACUGAGACACGGCCCAGACUCCUACGGGAGGCAGCAGUGGGGGAUAUUGCACAAUGGGCGAAAGCCUGAUGCAGCGACGCCGCGUGAAGGAAGAAGUAUUUCGGUAUGUAAACUUCUAUCAGCAGGGAAGAAAAUGACG
RNAcentral lists this ribosomal RNA (465 nucleotides) under Lachnospiraceae bacterium canine oral taxon 024. RNAcentral describes it as "bacterial SSU rRNA". It matches the Rfam family "Bacterial small subunit ribosomal RNA", at positions 9 to 456 of the family's 1533-position model. Lineage: Bacteria; Bacillati; Bacillota; Clostridia; Lachnospirales; Lachnospiraceae. The record is from RNAcentral.